Long non-coding RNA from Lingula anatina, 280 nucleotides. RefSeq lists it as uncharacterized. Lineage: Eukaryota; Metazoa; Brachiopoda; Lingulata; Lingulida; Lingulidae. The record is from RefSeq and is a predicted model, not a curated record.
GGCGUCUGACCUCAGACGCAGCUAGGGCGGAGUAGACAGGGGCCGGGGUCCAUCUUGGCAGCUUUUCACGAGGAAGGAAGGGAGAGUAAAAUAGUUCAACACGUGUGUUCAUCGUUCAUGAGCUGAGAGAGAUGUACUGUAGCACAGUGUUGGUAUGGAUGCUGUACAGCGUGAAGCAGAUAUACACCUGUGAUCAGACAUGUCAAGAUGGCGUCUUCCAUUACCAUGAAUACUGGGACGGGGAGGAGGAGGACAGUCAGUGUUCUGACCAAGAUGUCCC